Molecule: ribosomal RNA, 635 nt
Filed under: Microbacteriaceae bacterium So3Pt_194
Lineage: Bacteria; Bacillati; Actinomycetota; Actinomycetes; Micrococcales; Microbacteriaceae
Description: bacterial SSU rRNA
Rfam family: Bacterial small subunit ribosomal RNA
Source: RNAcentral
CUGAUGCAGCAACGCCGCGUGAGGGAUGACGGCCUUCGGGUUGUAAACCUCUUUUAGUAGGGAAGAAGGGCUUCGGCUUGACGGUACCUGCAGAAAAAGCACCGGCUAACUACGUGCCAGCAGCCGCGGUAAUACGUAGGGUGCAAGCGUUGUCCGGAAUUAUUGGGCGUAAAGAGCUCGUAGGCGGUUUGUCGCGUCUGCUGUGAAAACCCGAGGCUCAACCUCGGGCCUGCAGUGGGUACGGGCAGACUAGAGUGCGGUAGGGGAGAAUGGAAUUCCUGGUGUAGCGGUGGAAUGCGCAGAUAUCAGGAGGAACACCGAUGGCGAAGGCAGUUCUCUGGGCCGUAACUGACGCUGAGGAGCGAAAGCGUGGGGAGCGAACAGGAUUAGAUACCCUGGUAGUCCACGCCGUAAACGUUGGGCGCUAGAUGUGGGGACCUUUCCACGGUUUCCGUGUCGCAGCUAACGCAUUAAGCGCCCCGCCUGGGGAGUACGGCCGCAAGGCUAAAACUCAAAGGAAUUGACGGGGGCCCGCACAAGCGGCGGAGCAUGCGGAUUAAUUCGAUGCAACGCGAAGAACCUUACCAAGGCUUGACAUAUACGAGAACGGGCCAGAAAUGGUCAACUCUUUGGAC